Cottoperca gobio is the source of this 1700-nucleotide long non-coding RNA. RefSeq lists it as uncharacterized. The record is from RefSeq and is a predicted model, not a curated record. The transcript has 4 exons. NCBI's taxonomy places the organism in Eukaryota, Metazoa, Chordata, Actinopteri, Perciformes, Bovichtidae.
AAACACCACUAGGGGUCCAGUAACUGGCUGAUUUAAUUCUUGUGUUCCUGGACUUUAUCAUAAAUACAAUCCGUCGAACAGUAAAGAAGAGAGUUCCUCAGGUGGGACCCUGAGGAACUCCACCUUCUGACUCGUACCGUCCACUUCCUGUUUCCUACCUGUCUGGCGGAGCAGCGCUGUUUGGACGGAUAAACCAGGAACUUGUAGAGCAGGUCAACGGCCUGAGGGGACGUGUCGGGGACGAUCUCCCCCAAUGGGAUCGCUGGAUUCUCCUUGAAGAAAGUGAAUCUUACAGGCCAGCUGUCCUGAGUUGGAGUCCCCAGCACUCUGAGGACACAACAGAGCUGCUCGAUGUCGUUCUCUCCCGGAAACAGAGGAGACGAGUUCAGCAGCUCCCCGAAAAUACAGCCCACCGCCCUGAAACACAAACACACAUCAGGGCUUUUAUUCUGAAGGGCUACAGGGACAGACUCAAGUCAGAAGCCACCUGGUGGCUGUACAGUCUCUCUCCCUCCUCACUGAACAAUCUUGCCAAACCAAAGUCUGCGAUCUUCAGAUGACCUGAAGAGCUGAUGAGAAGGAAGGCCACGCCCUUCAGCAGCAUCAUCAUGUAACCUUUGACCUGAGCCGGGGUCAAAGGUCGCUGAGAGUUCCUGAUCACCUCGGAGAGGUCGGAGAGCAUGAAGUCAAACACCAGGACGAAGCCCGUACCAUGAGGGAAGACGUCCUUCAGCUUCACCACCUGAGGAAGAGGAAGAGGAGUGUGAGGCUGACCUCUGACCUCUGACCUGAAAAAGGCUCUUUGAAGGGAGUCGUGUCUUAUAGCUCAGUUCUUUCUUUUGAACGGCUUUGUUUCAUUUUUUUAGGGGUUAUUAAGUUUAUCUGUGAUAUAAUCACAAGGAUGGCGACCGGGUAAGAUUCAAACAUAAUCAUCCCACCAAUAUCAUUUAAUUCUGCAUGUGUGGACUAUGUGCACUAAAUUACUACUGUUAUUAUCUGCAUUGUAAACAUUACACAAGGUGACGCCAUGUCACUCUGUACUUUGAAUGUACCCUCUCUAGGUAACGAGUUUUGUAAAUAAAGUGCCGUAACAUCACUACCUCUGACCCCAACAUGACGACCUCUGAUACUCACAUGCUGGUUGUCCUCGAUCUCCUGCAGGGCCUUGAUCUCCCUCAGAGCCUGGUUGGGGAUGCCGUCCUCCAGCCGCCUCAGAGCCACUUUCUUCAGAGCCACCGUCUCUCCUGUCUGACGGACGACACAAAUCAACACUUUCAUUAUUGAUAAACCAAAGUUCUGAGACCUGUGCACACAUUGAGUAACUGUGGGAGAAACAUUAUUUGGAGACGGGCUCAUGAAAGUGAUAAGACUUCUGAUCAGGUCCUCUGGCCUUCAAAAUAAAAGUUGCUUUUUAAAAACUAUUGGUAUAACCAUUUCAGAUAGUAACAUAAAGUUACAGGCUACAUUCCCCAUUGUUCUUGUGUUCAUGCUCUAGUCACUCAGAAUACUUUACACAACUUAUAUUUACUUUUUGUUUUCCUAUUGCACUACAAGUUUGUACCUGUUUUGUAACCUGUUGUUUGCACCUUAUUUAUAGUCUGAAUGUUUGUGAACCAGGAACCAGGGAAACACUAUUUAGUUCCUCUAUGCCCUGUACUGUAUACAGAUGGAUGACAAUAAAGUCUCUCUUGUCUCUCUUC